GAGAGAGAGAGAGAGAGAGCUUAACCUAACCCAACUAGAACUAUUAGUACGCAAACACAUUCUCGAAGUUAGGCAUGUUAAGACAAAGGCGACACUAGAGAAUAAUCUGCCUUUGAUCACUUGUCAUGAAUAUUUCAACGUCAUGGCAUAAGAAGUGGCCGCCAUUGACAAGUAACCUUAACAUGCCAUGUAAAUGUUCAGCAUGGCUCUGAACUAUGAAAGUAAGUUGUGCUCUUUAGUUUGGCCUGCAAUCAAGUGCUGCAUUGCUAUUCCACACAAGCUAAGAUUAAUUUCAAUUCCAAGGCUCCAAAAUAAGCAACAGCUCAUUUUACCAGCCAAAAUAAAUUAUUAAACCUUGGCAUUAAUGUAGUCCAAGGCAUAUUAGAAAUUUUCACCCGUCACAUAAAAUGGAUGACAAUUUUACUUUGUAACACUAUGUCCCUCAUAGAUUUUAAUUAUCUAAAUGCUUGAUAAAUGCUAAUGAAAAGCGUUAGCUUCAUUAAACUAAAAUUAUAAGACAUUCUAAAGCAAGUAGCAACCAAAGCAAUACUGAUAAAUUUUGAAGGUGCUGACAAUUGAAGGUCACCAAAAAGUAAAGGAUCAUCAAUAAUAUAAUUA
This 618-nucleotide unclassified non-coding RNA is filed under the name Hevea brasiliensis (rubber tree). Lineage: Eukaryota; Viridiplantae; Streptophyta; Magnoliopsida; Malpighiales; Euphorbiaceae. The record is from RNAcentral.